RNAcentral lists this ribosomal RNA (466 nucleotides) under uncultured bacterium. Its description in RNAcentral is "partial 16S ribosomal RNA". It matches the Rfam family "Bacterial small subunit ribosomal RNA", at positions 28 to 507 of the family's 1533-position model. The record is from RNAcentral.
GAUGAACGCUGGCGGCGUGCUUAACACAUGCAAGUCGAACGAUGAAGCCCAGCUUGCUGGGUGGAUUAGUGGCGAACGGGUGAGUAACACGUGAGUAACCUGCCCUUGACUCUGGGAUAAGCCUGGGCAACUGGGUCUAAUACUGGAUAUGACUUCUCAUCGCAUGGUGGGGGGAGGAGUGAUUUAUGGGUCUUGGGUGGACUCGCGGCCUAUCCGCUUGUUGGUGAGGUAAUGGCUCACCAAGGCGACGACGGGUAGCCGGCCUGAGAGGGUGACCGGCCACACUGGGCCUGCGACACGGCCCAGACUCCUACGGGAGGCAGCAGUGGAGAAUAUUGCACAAUGGGCGCAAGCCUGAUGCAGCGACGCCGCGUGAGGGAUGACGGCCUUCGGGUUGUAAACCUCUUUCAGUAGGGAAGAAGCGAGAGUGACGGUACCUGCAGAAGAAGCGCCGGCUAACUACGUG